UACCGAGCGGUAGCACAGAGAGCUUGCUCUCGGGUGACGAGCGGCGGACGGGUGAGUAAUGUCUGGGAAACUGCCUGAUGGAGGGGGAUAACUACUGGAAACGGUAGCUAAUACCGCAUAAUGUCGCAAGACCAAAGUGGGGGACCUUCGGGCCUCAUGCCAUCAGAUGUGCCCAGAUGGGAUUAGCUAGUAGGUGGGGUAACGGCUCACCUAGGCGACGAUCCCUAGCUGGUCUGAGAGGAUGACCAGCCACACUGGAACUGAGACACGGUCCAGACUCCUACGGGAGGCAGCAGUGGGGAAUAUUGCACAAUGGGCGCAAGCCUGAUGCAGCCAUGCCGCGUGUGUGAAGAAGGCCUUCGGGUUGUAAAGCACUUUCAGCGGGGAGGAAGGCGUUGAGGUACCGGCAUACCUUGUCGAUUGACGUUACCCGCAGAAGAAGCACCGGCUAACUCCGUGCCAGCAGCCGCGGUAAUACGGAGGGUGCAAGCGUUAAUCGGAAUUACUGGGCGUAAAGCGCACGCAGGCGGUCUGUCAAGUCGGAUGUGAAAUCCCCGGGCUCAACCUGGGAACUGCAUUCGAAACUGGCAGGCUAGAGUCUUGUAGAGGGGGGUAGAAUUCCAGGUGUAGCGGUGAAAUGCGUAGAGAUCUGGAGGAAUACCGGUGGCGAAGGCGGCCCCCUGGACAAAGACUGACGCUCAGGUGCGAAAGCGUGGGGAGCAAACAGGAUUAGAUACCCUGGUAGUCCACGCCGUAAACGAUGUCGAUUUGGAGGUUGUGCCCUUGAGGCGUGGCUUCCGGAGCUAACGCGUUAAAUCGACCGCCUGGGGAGUACGGCCGCAAGGUUAAAACUCAAAUGAAUUGACGGGGGCCCGCACAAGCGGUGGAGCAUGUGGUUUAAUUCGAUGCAACGCGAAGAACCUUACCUGGUCUUGACAUCCACAGAACUUUCCAGAGAUGGAUUGGUGCCUUCGGGAACUGUGAGACAGGUGCUGCAUGGCUGUCGUCAGCUCGGGAACGACAAUGUUGGGUUAAGUCCCGCAACGAGCGCAACCCUUAUCCUUUGUUGCCAGCGGUUCGGCCGGGAACUCAAAGGAGACUGCCAGUGAUAAACUGGAGGAAGGUGGGGAUGACGUCAAGUCAUCAUGGCCCUUACGACCAGGGCUACACACGUGCUACAAUGGCAUAUACAAAGAGAAGCGACCUCGCGAGAGCAAGCGGACCUCAUAAAGUAUGUCGUAGUCCGGAUUGGAGUCUGCAACUCGACUCCAUGAAGUCGGAAUCGCUAGUAAUCGUAGAUCAGAAUGCUACGGUGAAUACGUUCCCGGGCCUUGUACACACCGCCCGUCACACCAUGGGAGUGGGUUGCAAAAGAAGUAGGUAGCUUAACCUUCGGGAGGGCGAACUA
Molecule: ribosomal RNA, 1408 nt
Filed under: Klebsiella pneumoniae
Lineage: Bacteria; Pseudomonadati; Pseudomonadota; Gammaproteobacteria; Enterobacterales; Enterobacteriaceae
Description: bacterial SSU rRNA
Rfam family: Bacterial small subunit ribosomal RNA
Source: RNAcentral